GACGAACGCUGGCGGCGUGCUUAACACAUGCAAGUCGAACGGUUAAGCGCCUUCCUUUUUGGUGGGUGUGGUUGAGCGGCGAACGGUUGAGUAACACGUUAGUAACCUGCCCCCUCUUUCUGGAUAACCGCAUGAAAUUGUGGCUAAUACGGGAUAUCUUGGGUCUGUGGCUUGAUGGGUCUGGGACAGAUAUUGUUUCGUUGGGGGAUGGGCUCGCGGCCUAUCAGCUUGUUGGUGGGGGGAGGGCUUACCAAGGCGGUGACGGGUAGGCGGUCUGGGGGGGUGGACGGUCUGACUGGGACUGAGGCACGGCCCGGUCUCCUUCGGGGGGCAGCGGUGGGUACUACUGUACAAUGCGCGCAAGACUGAUGCAGCGACGCCGCGUAUGUUGUGGUGGCCUUCGGGUUGAGAACCUCUUUCGGUAGGGAAGCAGGUCUGCCUUGUGUGUGGGUGGGUUGACGGUAGCUGGAGAAGGAGCGCCGGCUAACUACGUG
RNAcentral lists this ribosomal RNA (494 nucleotides) under uncultured bacterium. Its description in RNAcentral is "partial 16S ribosomal RNA". It matches the Rfam family "Bacterial small subunit ribosomal RNA", at positions 28 to 507 of the family's 1533-position model. The record is from RNAcentral.